AACUCCGAAAAUUUUACUUUCACCGAGCUCGGUCCAAAACAAUGGUGUACGGCAUUUACGACCGUACAAAGCCUCGUAAGGUGCCAUCUUAAUACUUGAUUGAAAACUGUUAUUGUAAGCGAAUUCAAUCAAAGGUAAAUACCGCUCCCAUGAACCACUAAACUCGAGGAUGCAACAUCUCAACAUAUCCUCAAGUAUCUGAAUUAUCC
This 209-nucleotide long non-coding RNA is filed under the name Gossypium barbadense (sea-island cotton). RNAcentral's name for it is "long non-coding RNA (GBAR_LNC007396)". The record is from RNAcentral. Lineage: Eukaryota; Viridiplantae; Streptophyta; Magnoliopsida; Malvales; Malvaceae.